AUCGCUUCUCGGCCUUUUGGCUAAGAUCAUGUGUAGUAUCUGUUCAUAUCAGUUUAAUAUCUGAUACGUCUUCAAUGAGAGGACAUUAUAUUAAAUGGAUUUUGGGGUUCAGGAGUUUAUUUUAUUUAUUUAUUUAUUUUAAUUUUAACGGUUGGGCUUGAUGAUCUGAAGUCUUUUCCAACCUAAACUAU
This 191-nucleotide small nuclear RNA is filed under the name Pelecanus crispus (Dalmatian pelican). Its description in RNAcentral is "U2 spliceosomal RNA". It matches the Rfam family "U2 spliceosomal RNA". From Rfam's summary of the family: U2 is a small nuclear RNA (snRNA) component of the spliceosome (involved in pre-mRNA splicing). Complementary binding between U2 snRNA (in an area lying towards the 5' end but 3' to hairpin I) and the branchpoint sequence (BPS) of the intron results the bulging out of an unpaired adenosine, on the BPS, which initiates a nucleophilic attack at the intronic 5' splice site, thus starting the first of two transesterification reactions that mediate splicing. The record is from Rfam by way of RNAcentral. Lineage: Eukaryota; Metazoa; Chordata; Aves; Pelecaniformes; Pelecanidae.